UCUAGCACUGGGAGACGCUGCCCAUUACUCUAGAGUAAUAUACAAAUACUCUAGAGUAAUGGGCAGCGUCUCCCAGUUGUAGAAC
Molecule: non-coding RNA, 85 nt
Organism: Pelobates cultripes (western spadefoot toad)
Lineage: Eukaryota; Metazoa; Chordata; Amphibia; Anura; Pelobatidae
Source: the annotation of a GenBank genome assembly